GACGAACGCUGGCGGCAUGCCUAACACAUGCAAGUCGAACGGUAAGGCUUCCUUCGGGAAGUACACGAGUGGCGAACGGGUGAGUAACACGCGGGUAACCUACCCUUGACUGGGGGACAACCGAGGGAAACUUCGGCUAAUACCGCAUAACGUGCAUUGCCUCAAGGUGGUGUACCAAAGCUCCGGCGGUGAAGGAUGGGCACGCGGCAGAUUAGCUUGUUGGUGAGGUAACGGCUUACCAAGGCGACGAUCUGUAGCUGGUCUGUGAGGACGAUGAGCCAGCCUGGGACGGAGACACGGUCCAGACUCCUACGGGAGGCAGCAGUGGGGAAUCUUGCGCAAUGGGCGAAAGCCUGACGCAGCAAUGCCGCGUGAGGGAAGACGGCCUUAGGGUUGUAAACCUCUUUCAGCAGGGACGAACACAGACGGUACCUGCAGAAGAAGCCCCGGCUAACUACGUGCCAGCCGCCGCCGUAA
RNAcentral lists this ribosomal RNA (477 nucleotides) under uncultured bacterium. RNAcentral describes it as "partial 16S ribosomal RNA". It matches the Rfam family "Bacterial small subunit ribosomal RNA", at positions 28 to 523 of the family's 1533-position model. The record is from RNAcentral.